RNAcentral lists this ribosomal RNA (253 nucleotides) under uncultured bacterium. RNAcentral describes it as "partial 16S ribosomal RNA". It matches the Rfam family "Bacterial small subunit ribosomal RNA", at positions 524 to 776 of the family's 1533-position model. The record is from RNAcentral.
UACGUAGGGACCAAGCGUUGUUCGAUUUACUGGGCGUAAAGGGCGCGUAGGCGGCAUAUUAAGUCAGCUGUGAAAUCUCCGAGCUUAACUCGGAACUGUCAGCUGAUACUGAUGUGCUAGAGUGCAGAAGGGGCAAUCGGAAUUCUUGGUGUAGCGGUGAAAUGCGUAGAUAUCAAGAGGAACACCUGAGGUGAAGACGGGUUGCUGGGCUGACACUGACGCUGAUAGCGCGAAAGCCAGGGGAGCAAACGGG